AAACUUUUAUGCUACUUCUAAAACUUUUUGAUUAACUAUGCUAAGUUGUAUAGAUGCACAGUGAAAGUUAAACUUAGCAAGGGUUUGAUGUAUAGACUUCGACUUGAUUAAAUAUGCUUGCAACUAAAGGAUGUGCGGACAAGAAUUAAGCAAGCAAUUUAUCUAAGUAAGUAAGUGGGUUAGUUAGACAAUAACUAGAGGCAUUACAAACACACAGGACAUAUAGUGGUUCGGUGCACCCCAGCACCUACAUCCACUCCCCAAGACCUCUUGGGAAUUUCACUAUAAUCCUACCG
Molecule: long non-coding RNA, 296 nt
Filed under: Phoenix dactylifera (date palm)
Lineage: Eukaryota; Viridiplantae; Streptophyta; Magnoliopsida; Arecales; Arecaceae
Description: long non-coding RNA (PDAC_LNC018221)
Source: RNAcentral